GAGUUUGAUCAUGGCUCAGGAUGAACGCUAGCGGCAGGCUUAACACAUGCAAGUCGUGGGGCAGGCGCGGACUUCGGUCUGGCGGCGACCGGCAAACGGGUGCGGAACACGUACGCAACCUCCCUCAGAGCGGGGAAUAGCCUCUCGAAAGAGAGAUUAAUACCCCAUAGUAUCUUGAAGACACAUGUCUAUGAGAUUAAAGCUUCGGCACUUUGAGAUGGGCGUGCGGCUGAUUAGGUAGUUGGUAGGGUAACGGCCUACCAAGCCGACGAUCAGUAGCUGAUGUGAGAGCAUGAUCAGCCACACGGGCACUGAGACACGGGCCCGACUCCUACGGGAGGCAGCAGUGAGGAAUAUUGGUCAAUGGAGGAAACUCUGAACCAGCCAUGCCGCGUGGAGGAUGAAGGUCCUCUGGAUUGUAAACUCCUUUUAUAAAAGAAGAAACCCCAUUUUUCUAAAUGGGUUGACGGUACUUUAUGAAUAAGCACCGGCUAACUCCGUG
Molecule: ribosomal RNA, 502 nt
Filed under: uncultured bacterium
Lineage: Bacteria
Description: bacterial SSU rRNA
Rfam family: Bacterial small subunit ribosomal RNA
Source: RNAcentral